This 253-nucleotide ribosomal RNA is filed under the name uncultured bacterium. RNAcentral's name for it is "partial 16S ribosomal RNA". It matches the Rfam family "Bacterial small subunit ribosomal RNA", at positions 524 to 776 of the family's 1533-position model. The record is from RNAcentral.
UACAGAGGUCUCAACCGUUGUUCGGAUUCAUUGGGCGUAAAGGGUGCGUAGGCGGUCGGGUAAGUCGGAUGUGAAAUCCCAGGGCUCAACCCUGGAACUGCAUUCGAUACUGCCUGGCUAGGGUACUGGAGAGGAGACUGGAAUUUACGGUGUAGCAGUGAAAUGCGUAGAUAUCGUAAGGAAGACCAGUGGCGAAGGCGAGUCUCUGGACAGUUACCGACGCUGAGGCGCGAAGGUCAGGGGAGCAAACGGG